RNAcentral lists this transfer RNA (68 nucleotides) under Serranus scriba (painted comber). Its description in RNAcentral is "transfer RNA-val". It matches the Rfam family "tRNA". Rfam says of the family: Transfer RNA (tRNA) molecules are approximately 80 nucleotides in length. Their secondary structure includes four short double-helical elements and three loops (D, anti-codon, and T loops). Further hydrogen bonds mediate the characteristic L-shaped molecular structure. tRNAs have two regions of fundamental functional importance: the anti-codon, which is responsible for specific mRNA codon recognition, and the 3' end, to which the tRNAs corresponding amino acid is attached (by aminoacyl-tRNA synthetases). tRNAs cope with the degeneracy of the genetic code in two manners: having more than one tRNA (with a specific anti-codon) for a particular amino acid; and 'wobble' base-pairing, i.e. permitting non-standard base-pairing at the 3rd anti-codon position. The record is from RNAcentral. Lineage: Eukaryota; Metazoa; Chordata; Actinopteri; Perciformes; Serranidae.
CAGGGUAUGGCUAAGUAAAGCAUCUCCCUUACACUGAGAAGACACCCGUGCAAAUCGGGUUACCCUGA